GGCGGUUUAGUAAGUNUGAAGUUAAAGGCAUUGGCUCAANCAAUGUAUGCUUUGGAAACUGUUAGACUNGAGUGCAGAAGGGGAGAGUGGAAUUCCAUGUGUAGCGGUGAAAUGCGUAGAUAUAUGGAGGAACACCGGUGGCGAAAGCGGCUCUCUGGUCUGUCACUGACGCUGAGGCUCGAAAGCGUGGGUAGCGAACAGGAUUAGAUACCCUGGUAGUCCACGCCGUAAACGAUGAGUGCUAGGUGUUAGGUCCUUUCCGGGACUUAGUGCCGCAGCUAACGCAAUAAGCACUCCGCCUGGGGAGUACGACCGCAAGGUUGAAACUCAAAGGAAUUGACGGGGGCCCGCACAAGCGGUGGAGCAUGUGGUUUAAUUCGAAGCAACGCGAAGAACCUUACCAGGUCUUGACAUCCCGAUGCCCGCUCUAGAGAUAGAGUUUUUCUUCGGAACAUCGGAGACAGGUGGUGCAUGGUUGUCGUCAGCUCGUGUCGUGAGAUGUUGGGUUAAGUCCCGCAACGAGCGCAACCCUUAUUGUUAGUUGCCAUCAUUGAGUUGGGCACUCUAGCGAGACUGCCGGUAAUAAACCGGAGGAAGGUGGGGAUGACGUCAAAUCAUCAUGCCCCUUAUGACCUGGGCUACACACGUGCUACAAUGGUUGGUACAACGAGUCGCAAGCCGGUGACGGCAAGCUAAUCUCUGAAAGCCAAUCUCAGUUCGGAUUGUAGGCUGCAACUCGCCUACAUGAAGUCGGAAUCGCUAGUAAUCGCGGAUCAGCACGCCGCGGUGAAUUCGUUCCCGGGCCUUGUACACACCGCCCGUCACACCACGAGAGUUUGUAACACCCAAAGUCGGUGAGGUAACCAUAUAGG
RNAcentral lists this ribosomal RNA (872 nucleotides) under uncultured bacterium. RNAcentral's name for it is "bacterial SSU rRNA". It matches the Rfam family "Bacterial small subunit ribosomal RNA", at positions 574 to 1446 of the family's 1533-position model. The record is from RNAcentral.